UGGGGUUAUAUCCUGCCUGUUUGGCCCUGUCUGGGGGAAUCAUCGGAUGGGGCCACAGUGUCUCCUGACCUGUCUCAGCCUCCAGUAUUUAUGCUGCAGUAGUUUAUGUCCCGGGGGGCUAGGGUCAGUCUGUUAUAUCUGGAUUAUUUCUCCUGUCUUAUCCGGUGUCCUGUGUGAAUUUAAGUACGCUCUCUCUAAUCCUCUCUUUCUUUCUCUCUCUCUCUCUCUCUCUCUCUCUCUCUCUCUCUCUCUCUCCGAGGACCUGAGCCCUAGGACCAUCUGGCAUGAUGACUCCUUGCUGUCCCCAGUCCACCUGGCCGUGCUGCUGCUCCAGUUUCAACUGUUUUGCCUGUGGCUAUGGAACCCUGACCUGUUCGCUGGACAUGCUACCUGUCCCAGACCUGCUGUUUUCAACUCUCUAGAGACAGGAGGAGCGGUAGAGAUACUCUCAAUGAUCGGCUAUGAAAAGCCAACUGACAUUUACUCCUGAGGUGCUGACCUGUUGCACCCUCGACAACUACUGUGAUUAUAAUUAUUUGACCAUGCUGAUGCUGUCUCAAUGAAGACUGGACUUCUUUGCCGAUUAUCUCCCAUAGAAGUGAAGGCGUGUUCCAUUGGGAAUGACUGACAUCACACAUUUUCCUAAAAAGACAAAACCGGCCAGCAGGACCUAAAACUAUUCUGUCUGAAUAGAUUAUUGUAUGAUACAUUCAUAGUUUUUUUUUGUAACAAAGUGUAUAUUUUUGUACUGAAUCUGUUAAUACCUCGUGUUUAGCAAUUCAAAAAUGCCUUAAUGAUGACAGUCAAACUCAAGAACUCAGUGUUUGCAACAACAACAAACAAAUACAUUUGGUGCUGUGUCUGUCGGUGGUCUUUAAAGCAUACUUUCUGCCCAUUGAAACAAGACAAAAUGGGAAACUUCUGUUCUUUUAAUAAAAUUGUUGAAAACAAAUCAAUUCAUGAAUAAUAAUACAAAAAAAAAAAUGUAAUCUCACAAUUGAAUGGCAGCGCCCUUAUACUUGGACUGAACAUUUACAAUGUAUAGUACUGCUUCCAGUGCUGGCCCAUUCCAGUCAAAAGGAAUAGGGGGGAGGAAGGUAUUGCAUUCGAUCACACAAAUGUACUCUAUAAUUCAUUAUGCUGGAGACAGUAUUGGCAACAAUUAAAAAUUUGACCUAUUGAGUGAGUCAAAUUUUGCAUGGUUAUAAAUAUGCUAUAGACAUGAAACCACCAGCAUCCAAGUGGUAAAAAAAAUAUUUAAAAAAUUAUAGAAAAAGUUACAAAAUUUAAAACACUAAAAAAUUCUAACAUGAAAAUAGUGAUUCCAGAUCACCAAAAUAUUUAGACAAUUCACAUAUUUCUUUUCACCAUAACACUGUAAACUCAUGCAAUAAAAAAUGGGGUUGUUGUGUCAGUAACAAUUGUGCCAUCUUCCCGGCAAAUUUGUUACUCAACGUUUUCCCAAAACAAAGUCACUAUUCCAGUAUCUAUAAUAUCCCUUGAACAUGACUUUGGGUUUCCAACCAUCUUUAUCAAAGGUUCAUCGUAAGGGCAGUUUGUGACUUAUUUUCCUUCUCUGCCAUAGUUUCUGGUGAAGAAUGAGGGGGAUUCGUGACCAUCUUUAUCAAGAGUUCAUCAUCGGAGUUCUCCUUAUCCCCUGGCAAAUAAAUAAACAACUAUAGGUGCUCUGCAUAAUAGGUAGAGAAUAGCCCAUUUCAAUGUUAUCUAUCAAACAGUGCAGCUGUAGACUAUGUCAAAGGUAUUCCAUAUGAGAACGGAAAUAUACGAUAAGAGGAAUUCUUACCUGCACUUCUUUUACCAGUGUUUCCCACGUUGGCUCUAUAGUUAUCUUCCAAGACUUCUUUUGUGUCACAUCUCUCCAGAAUCACCAUUAGGCUCUUCAUUUGUGGAUUUCUCACCAUCUUUUUACUCAAGGGCUCAUCGUCUGAGCUGUCAUCCAAAGACCC
Molecule: long non-coding RNA, 1967 nt
Organism: Oncorhynchus tshawytscha (Chinook salmon)
Lineage: Eukaryota; Metazoa; Chordata; Actinopteri; Salmoniformes; Salmonidae
Source: Ensembl